Molecule: microRNA, 21 nt
Filed under: Dinoponera quadriceps
Lineage: Eukaryota; Metazoa; Arthropoda; Insecta; Hymenoptera; Formicidae
Description: dqu-miR-2788-5p
Source: miRBase by way of RNAcentral
UGGGGUUUCUAUGCGGCAUGU